This 468-nucleotide ribosomal RNA is filed under the name uncultured bacterium. RNAcentral describes it as "partial 16S ribosomal RNA". It matches the Rfam family "Bacterial small subunit ribosomal RNA", at positions 28 to 507 of the family's 1533-position model. The record is from RNAcentral.
GACGAACGCUGGCGGCGUGCUUAACACAUGCAAGUCGAACGGAAAGGCCCUGCUUUUGUGGGGUGCUCGAGUGGCGAACGGGUGAGUAACACGUGAGUAACCUGCCCUUGACUUUGGGAUAACUUCAGGAAACUGGGGCUAAUACCGGAUAGGAGCUCCUGCUGCAUGGUGGGGGUUGGAAAGUUUCGGCGGUUGGGGAUGGACUCGCGGCUUAUCAGCUUGUUGGUGGGGUAGUGGCUUACCGAGGCUUAGAAGGGUAGCCGGCCUGAGAGGGUGGACGGGGACAAUGGGACUAAGGGACGGACCAGACGCGAAUAGGGGGCAAUGGGGGAGAGUAUUGCACAAUGAGCGGAAGUGUGAGGAAGAGACGCCGCGUGCGGGAAGAACGCCUUGGGGGGGUGAACCGCUUUAAGCUGAGACGAAGCGUGAGUGACGUUAAUAGGUGAAGAAGCACCGGCUAACUACGUG